CCUACGGGAGGCAGCAGUGAGGAAUAUUGGUCAAUGGACGAGAGUCUGAACCAGCCAAGUAGCGUGAAGGAUGACUGCCCUAUGGGUUGUAAACUUCUUUUAUAUGGGAAUAAAACGUUCCACGUGUGGGAUUUUGUAUGUACCAUAUGAAUAAGGAUCGGCUAACUCCGUGCCAGCAGCCGCGGUAAUACGGAGGAUCCGAGCGUUAUCCGGAUUUAUUGGGUUUAAAGGGAGCGUAGGUGGAUUGUUAAGUCAGUUGUGAAAGUUUGCGGCUCAACCGUAAAAUUGCAGUUGAAACUGGCAGUCUUGAGUGCAGUAGAGGUGGGCGGAAUUCGUGGCGUAGCGGUGAAAUGCUUAGAUAUCACGAAGAACUCCGAUUGCGAAGGCAGUUCACUGGACUGCAACUGACACUGAGGCUCGAAAGUGUGGGUAUCAAACAGGAUUAGAUACCCCUGUAGUC
Molecule: ribosomal RNA, 460 nt
Filed under: uncultured bacterium
Lineage: Bacteria
Description: partial 16S ribosomal RNA
Rfam family: Bacterial small subunit ribosomal RNA
Source: RNAcentral